UACGUAGGGGGCAAGCGUUAUCCGGAUUUACUGGGUGUAAAGGGAGCGUAGGCGGCCAUGUAAGUCAGAAGUGAAAGCCCGGGGCUCAACCCCGGGACUGCUCUUGAGACUGUGUGGCUGGAGUGUCGGAGGGGUAAGUGGAAUUCCUAGUGUAGCGGUGAAAUGCGUAGAUAUUAGGAGGAACACCAGUGGCGAAGGCGGCUUACUGGACGAUCACUGACGCUGAGGCUCGAAAGCGUGGGGAGCAAACAGG
Molecule: ribosomal RNA, 253 nt
Filed under: uncultured bacterium
Lineage: Bacteria
Description: partial 16S ribosomal RNA
Rfam family: Bacterial small subunit ribosomal RNA
Source: RNAcentral